UAUGAAGAAGAAAUGGCGGACCCGGAUUCCAACAAAUGGCUUGAAGCCAUGAAAUCCGAGAUAGGAUCCAUGUAUGAAAACAAAGUAUGGACUUUGACGGACUUGCCCGAUGAUCGGCAAGCCAUAGAGAAUAAGUGGAUCUUUAAGAAGAAGACUGGCGUGGAUGGUAAUGUGACCGUCUAUAAGGCUUGGCUUAUCGCUAAGGGUUAUCGACAAGUUCAAGGAGUUAACUACGAUGAGACCUUCUCACUCGUAGCGAUGCUGAAGUACGUCCGAAUCAUGUUAGCAAUUGUCGCAUUCUAUGAUUACGAGAUCUGGAAAAUGGACGUCAAAACGGCAUUCCUUAAUGGUUUCCUUAAGGAAGAAUUGUAUAUGAUGCAGCCGGAAGGUUUUGCCGAUCCUAAGAAUGCUGACAAGGUAUGCAAGCUCCAGCGCUCCAUCUAUGGGCUGGUGCAAGAAUCUCGGAGUUGGAACAUUUGCUUUAAUGAAGUAAUCAAAGCGUUUGGGUUUAUACAGACUUAUGGAGAAGCCUGUAUUUACAAGAAAGUGAGUGGGAGCUAUGUGGCUUUUCUCAUAUUAUAUGUGGAUGACAUACUAUUGAUGGGAAAUGAUAUAGAACUUUCGGAAAGCAUAAAGGCCUACUUGAAUAAGUGUUUUUCUAUGAAGGACCUUGGAGAAGCUGCUUACAUAUUAGGCAUCAAGAUCUAUAGAGAUAGAUCGAGACGCCACAUUGGUCUUUCACAAAGCACAUACCUUAACAAGAUAUUGAAGAAGUUCAAUAUGGAUCAGUCCAAGAAGGGGUUCUUGCCUGUAUUGCAAGGUGUGAGAUUGAGCAUGGCUCAAUGCGCGACCUCGGUAGAAGAUAGAGAAAAGAUGAGUAUCAUCCCCUAUGCCUCGGCCAUAGGCUCUAUUAUGUAUGCCAUGCUGUGUACC
This 933-nucleotide ribosomal RNA is filed under the name Triticum aestivum (bread wheat). RNAcentral describes it as "partial small subunit ribosomal RNA". The record is from RNAcentral. Lineage: Eukaryota; Viridiplantae; Streptophyta; Magnoliopsida; Poales; Poaceae.